Molecule: ribosomal RNA, 253 nt
Filed under: uncultured bacterium
Lineage: Bacteria
Description: partial 16S ribosomal RNA
Rfam family: Bacterial small subunit ribosomal RNA
Source: RNAcentral
UACGUAGGGGGCUAGCGUUGUCCGGAUUUAUUGGGCGUAAAGAGCGUGUAGGCGGCCUGACAAGUCUGCUGUGAAAACUCGAGGCUCAACCUCGAGAUGUCGGCGGAAACUGUCUGGCUAGAGUCCGGAAGAGGAGAGUGGAAUUCCUGGUGUAGCGGUGAAAUGCGCAGAUAUCAGGAAGAACACCCGUGGCGAAGGCGGCUCUCUGGUACGUGACUGACGCUGAGACGCGAAAGCGUGGGGAGCAAACAGG